Molecule: ribosomal RNA, 477 nt
Filed under: uncultured bacterium
Lineage: Bacteria
Description: partial 16S ribosomal RNA
Rfam family: Bacterial small subunit ribosomal RNA
Source: RNAcentral
AUUGAACGCUGGCGGCAUGCCUUACACAUGCAAGUCGAACGGUAACAGGUUAAGCUGACGAGUGGCGAACGGGUGAGUAAUGUAUCGUAACGUGCCCAGUCGUGGGGGAUAACUGCUCGAAAGAGCAGCUAAUACCGCAUACGACCUGAGGGUGAAAGCGGGGGAUCGCAAGACCUCGCGCGAUUGGAGCGGCCGAUAUCAGAUUAGGUAGUUGGUGAGGUAAAGGCUCACCAAGCCGACGAUCUGUAGCUGGUCUGAGAGGACGACCAGCCACACUGGGACUGAGACACGGCCCAGACUCCUACGGGAGGCAGCAGUGGGGAAUUUUGGACAAUGGGCGCAAGCCUGAUCCAGCCAUGCCGCGUGCGGGAAGAAGGCCUUCGGGUUGUAAACCGCUUUUGUCAGGGAAGAAAAGGUUCUGGCUAAUACCUGGGACUCAUGACGGUACCUGAAGAAUAAGCACCGGCUAACUACGUG